Molecule: unclassified non-coding RNA, 427 nt
Filed under: Ascomycota cf. Helotiales OTU_034
Lineage: Eukaryota; Fungi; Ascomycota
Description: sequence contains ITS1, 5.8S rRNA gene and ITS2
Rfam family: 5.8S ribosomal RNA (bases 137-290)
Source: RNAcentral
AACGGGAUGUCUGACCCUUGAUAUAUAACCUCGUUGCUUUGGCGGGCCGCCUUUGGGCGUUGGCCUCGGCUGACUGUGCCCGCCAGAGGACCAAAACUCUUUGUUUAGUGAUGUCUGAGUACUGUAUAAUAGUUAAAACUUUCAACAACGGAUCUCUUGGUUCUGGCAUCGAUGAAGAACGCAGCGAAAUGCGAUAAGUAAUGUGAAUUGCAGAAUUUAGUGAAUCAUCGAAUCUUUGAACGCACAUUGCGCCCCUUGGUAUUCCGAGGGGCAUGCCUGUUCGAGCGUCAUAUAAACACAUCCCGCAAGGGGUCUUGGGGCCCGCCUUCUGGCGGCCCUUAAAAUCAGUGGCGGCGCCAUCUGGCUCUAAGCGAAGAAAUUAUCCUCGCUAUAGGGUCCCGGUGGAUGCUUGCCAGCAACCCCCCAU